RNAcentral lists this ribosomal RNA (465 nucleotides) under Vreelandella stevensii. RNAcentral's name for it is "partial 16S ribosomal RNA". It matches the Rfam family "Bacterial small subunit ribosomal RNA", at positions 338 to 795 of the family's 1533-position model. Lineage: Bacteria; Pseudomonadati; Pseudomonadota; Gammaproteobacteria; Oceanospirillales; Halomonadaceae. The record is from RNAcentral.
CCUACGGGGGGCAGCAGUGGGGAAUAUUGGACAAUGGGGGGAACCCUGAUCCAGCCAUGCCGCGUGUGUGAAGAAGGCCCUCGGGUUGUAAAGCACUUUCAGUGAGGAAGAACGCCUGGUGGUUAAUACCCAUCAGGAAAGACAUCACUCACAGAAGAAGCACUGGCUAACUCCGUGCCAGCAGCCGCGGUAAUACGGAGGGUGCGAGCGUUAAUCGGAAUUACUGGGCGUAAAGCGCGCGUAGGUGGCUUGAUAAGCCGGUUGUGAAAGCCCCGGGCUCAACCUGGGAACGGCAUCCGGAACUGUCAAGCUAGAGUGCAGGAGAGGAAGGUAGAAUUCCCGGUGUAGCGGUGAAAUGCGUAGAGAUCGGGAGGAAUACCAGUGGCGAAGGCGGCCUUCUGGACUGACACUGACACUGAGGUGCGAAAGCGUGGGUAGCAAACAGGAUUAGAUACCCCAGUAGUC